Molecule: ribosomal RNA, 253 nt
Filed under: uncultured bacterium
Lineage: Bacteria
Description: partial 16S ribosomal RNA
Rfam family: Bacterial small subunit ribosomal RNA
Source: RNAcentral
UACGUAGGGUGCAAGCGUUGCUCGGAAUCAUUGGGCGUAAAGAGCGUGUAGGUGGCUAGAUAAGUCGGGUGUGAAAUCCCUCGGCUCAACCGAGGAAGUGCAUUCGAAACUAUCUAGCUCGAGGAUGGCAGAGGAAGGUGGAAUUCCUAGUGUAGAGGUGAAAUUCGUAGAUAUUAGGAGGAAUACCGGUGGCGAAGGCGGCCUUCUGGACCAUUCCUGACACUGAGACGCGAAAGCGUGGGGAGCAAACAGG